This 786-nucleotide ribosomal RNA is filed under the name Streptomyces sp. Its description in RNAcentral is "bacterial SSU rRNA". It matches the Rfam family "Bacterial small subunit ribosomal RNA", at positions 57 to 857 of the family's 1533-position model. Lineage: Bacteria; Bacillati; Actinomycetota; Actinomycetes; Kitasatosporales; Streptomycetaceae. The record is from RNAcentral.
GCAAGUCGAACGAUGAACCACUUCGGUGGGGAUUAGUGGCGAACGGGUGAGUAACACGUGGGUAAUCUGCCCUGCACUCUGGGACAAGCCCUGGAAACGGGGUCUAAUACCGGAUACUGACCCGCUUGGGCAUCCAAGCGGUUCGAAAGCUCCGGCGGUGCAGGAUGAGCCCGCGGCCUAUCAGCUUGUUGGUGAGGUAAUGGCUCACCAAGGCGACGACGGGUAGCCGGCCUGAGAGGGCGACCGGCCACACUGGGACUGAGACACGGCCCAGACUCCUACGGGAGGCAGCAGUGGGGAAUAUUGCACAAUGGGCGAAAGCCUGAUGCAGCGACGCCGCGUGAGGGAUGACGGCCUUCGGGUUGUAAACCUCUUUCAGCAGGGAAGAAGCGAAAGUGACGGUACCUGCAGAAGAAGCGCCGGCUAACUACGUGCCAGCAGCCGCGGUAAUACGUAGGGCGCGAGCGUUGUCCGGAAUUAUUGGGCGUAAAGAGCUCGUAGGCGGCUUGUCACGUCGGUUGUGAAAGCCCGGGGCUUAACCCCGGGUCUGCAGUCGAUACGGGCAGGCUAGAGUUCGGUAGGGGAGAUCGGAAUUCCUGGUGUAGCGGUGAAAUGCGCAGAUAUCAGGAGGAACACCGGUGGCGAAGGCGGAUCUCUGGGCCGAUACUGACGCUGAGGAGCGAAAGCGUGGGGAGCGAACAGGAUUAGAUACCCUGGUAGUCCACGCCGUAAACGGUGGGCACUAGGUGUGGGCGACAUUCCACGUCGUCCGUGCCGCAGCUAACG